Molecule: long non-coding RNA, 620 nt
Organism: Rhagoletis pomonella (apple maggot)
Lineage: Eukaryota; Metazoa; Arthropoda; Insecta; Diptera; Tephritidae
Exons: 3
Source: RefSeq, a predicted model, not a curated record
UGUAAAUAUAAUAAUAAAAAAACAUUUCGGCUUUGCCACGCCCUAUAUACACAAAAUGCAGCGAUUCGUCGCAGCGUUACAUUUGCAUCUACGCAUAAUGAGAUGGGGCACCAUGGCACACUUCAUGGAAGGACAACAGCGCGAAUCGGAGCCAUGCAGUGUGCAUGAGUGCAGUACUACCAACAGCUGUUCCUGCAAAUCGUGAAUAUCGUGAAGCAUCUGGAACGCAACUAUUAUUUCGUACCUUGGUCGUUUACGCAACAUACCUGAAGAGCUGGAACAAAGAUAUAAAUCACAGGGAUUGAUCCGGCCCAAUAAAUAUGCAGGGAAAACUUUUGCUUUUUGUCGCAGGCGAAUAGAGAAAAUCUACUUUCCUCAAAGAGAUGCGUAUAAUACGCGGCAUUAUUUAUGAACUCGAACUUAUUCCAGAAUACAAAUAAGUGAUAUAUCAAAAUGUAUUACGAGGAAAGCACGUAUUGAUUGAUGCUCGUCAAAAACUGGGAAUCCCAUAGGGAAACACCGAACAAGAAACAAUGCGAAAUAGGCGAAAUUAAUUGAAUGUAGUAAAGUGGAAAUCGACAAUUUCAUACAGUGGGCUCCAUAUAUUCGUAGACUAUGGC